RNAcentral lists this ribosomal RNA (254 nucleotides) under uncultured bacterium. Its description in RNAcentral is "partial 16S ribosomal RNA". It matches the Rfam family "Bacterial small subunit ribosomal RNA", at positions 524 to 776 of the family's 1533-position model. The record is from RNAcentral.
UACGGGGGGAGCAAGCGUUGUUCGGAUUUACUGGGCGUAAAGGGCGCGUAGGCGGUCAGCACAAGUCAGUUGUGAAAUCUCCGGGCUUAACUCGGAAAGGUCAACUGAUACUGUGCGACUAGAGUGCGGAAGGGGCAACUGGAAUUCUCGGUGUAGCGGUGAAAUGCGUAGAUAUCGAGAGGAACACCUGCGGCGAAGGCGGCUCUCUGGGACGGUACUGACGCUGAGACGCGAAAGCGUGGGGAGCGAACAGG